GUCUCUGUGGAGCAAUUGGUUAGCGCGUUCGGCUGUUAACCGAAAGGUUGCUGGUUCAAGCCCAGCCAGGGACG
This is a non-coding RNA of Ciona savignyi (Pacific transparent sea squirt), 74 nucleotides long. NCBI's taxonomy places the organism in Eukaryota, Metazoa, Chordata, Ascidiacea, Phlebobranchia, Cionidae. The record is from Rfam.